This 423-nucleotide ribosomal RNA is filed under the name uncultured bacterium. RNAcentral's name for it is "partial 16S ribosomal RNA". It matches the Rfam family "Bacterial small subunit ribosomal RNA", at positions 360 to 775 of the family's 1533-position model. The record is from RNAcentral.
AAUUUUGUACAAUGGGGUAAACCCUGAUCCAGCCAUCCCGCGUCUGCGAUGAAGGCCUUCCGGUUGAAAAGCACCUUUGGCAGGCCAGCAAAGGCUCUGGCUAAUACCUGGAGCUGCUGACGGUACCUGCACAAUACGCACUGGCUAACUACGCGCCAGCAGCUGCGGUAAUACGUAGGGUCAAAGCGUUAAUCGGAAUUACUGGGCGUAAAGCGUGCGCAGGCGAUUUGGCAAGAAGAAUGUGAAAUCCCAGGGCUUAACCUUGGAACUGCAUUCUUAACUGAAAGGCUAGAGUAUGUCAGAGGGGGGUAGAAUUCCACGUGUAGCAGUGAAAUGCGUAGAUAUGUGGAGGAAUACCGAUGGCGAAGGCAGCCCCCUGGGAUAAUACUGACGCCCAGACACGAAAGCGUGGGGAGCAAACAG